GAGAUGAAUCCUAAAAAGUUCUCUAAACACAAAGGCUUGGUCCUGACCCUAAAAUCAAUUGUUACCCAACUUACACAUGCAAGUCUCCACAUCCCCGUGAAAAGACCCUUACUUUUAAUUUAAAAGUAAGGAGCAGGUAUCAGGCACAACUUCUGCCCAAGACACCUAGCCACGCCACACCCACAAGGGCAUUCAGCAGUGAUUAACAUUGAGUAUAAACGCCAGUUUGACUCAGUCACGGUAAAUAGAGCCGGCAAAUAUGGUGCCAGCCGCCGCGGUUACACCAUCAAGACUCAAAUUGAUAUUCAUCGGCGUAAAGCGUGAUUAAAGUGAAUUUUAAAUUAGGGUAAAACUUAAACUAAGCUGUAACACGCCUGUUAUUAAGAAACCCAGAUACGAAAGCUGCCCUAAUUAUAGCCUCUUGAACUCACGACAACUAGAACACAAACUGGGAUUAGAUACCCCACUAUGUCUAGUCGUAAACUUUAAUUUACACCCAUAUUCGCCAGGGUACUACGAGCCAAGCUUAAAACCCAAAGGACUUGACGGUGUUCCAUACCCAACUAGAGGAGCCUG
This 576-nucleotide ribosomal RNA is filed under the name Bryophryne tocra. Its description in RNAcentral is "partial 12S ribosomal RNA". It matches the Rfam family "Bacterial small subunit ribosomal RNA", at positions 405 to 941 of the family's 1533-position model. Lineage: Eukaryota; Metazoa; Chordata; Amphibia; Anura; Craugastoridae. The record is from RNAcentral.